Molecule: long non-coding RNA, 1299 nt
Filed under: Equus asinus (donkey)
Lineage: Eukaryota; Metazoa; Chordata; Mammalia; Perissodactyla; Equidae
Description: lncRNA (ENSEASG00005027153.1)
Source: RNAcentral
AUCUCACCUUUGAACUCACCUGCAACCUGCAGGAGGCAGACUCAGAAAGGGUGGAGCACGCCUGAGGGCCAGCCGCAGUGUUUAUUAAUUAGGCAGAGUGCUUCUAAGCACUUUUGAUUAAACGCCAGUUUGUGUCAGGACGGUGGGGACAGCAAAAGGGGCUGGGACAUGCAUGCAGGGGGUUUAGAAUCCAGGAAAGAAAUAAGACUGUCAUCUGAGGAUUCUGGCACCAGACGGCUCAAAGCUCUGGAUGAGCAGCUGUGAGCUGAGGCCCGGUGUGGGCCUUGUAGCUGGGACAGGCACUGCAUCCUGGUGGUGGGAGCCCGAGUGGCCGCUCUGUGGGACCUGAGGGACAGAGGGUCCUUAGGGGCUGCUCCAGCAGUGGGUGAGGCCUGUUUCUACAAGUGGGCGUGGCCUGCUCUCGGCAGCAUUUGCAGGCUAAAAUCUCCAGUACAAUGUUGAAGAGGAGAAGGGGCAGCAGCAACUCCACUGGAUCCAUCUUUCUAAUGUUUGGCUACAAUGACGCUCUUGACUCAAGGUCUUCAGUUAAUGCUUCGAGGAAAUCUGUCUAGGGAUUGAAUGUGCUCCUUGUGACAGCUGGCCACAGAGGCAGAAGAUUGGAAAGGAAAAGCCUAGAACAAACUGAGAGGCCUCAUGGAUGGGGGUGAAGCCCAGCGAGCAUGGUCCUGGGCGGGCUGGGCCCGUCGACCCGCCGUAACUGGGAAGGGCUGGGCCCCCGGGAGGCUGGUCUUGGAAGACUAGUGUCACCUGCUCCAGUUGGGGUUCCUGACUCGGUGACAUGGGCUCUGCUCUCCCCUUCUGCUUCUGAGGAACUGGGAGUGGAUGGAACGCUUUUCCAGUCAGUUCUCUCUGGAGAAGCAUCAUGCACGCCCUACACCAGCUCUCACGGGCUCCUUUUCCACAGAUACAGAUUCAACCCAGUGCUGGUUAUGUGAGGACUGUGAAAAUCAGGCUCCACACCCUCCUAGUAACAACUGCCUACCUCUAUGUUGUGAAAAUGCAUGAUUGCAGACAUUUGACUUGAUUUUGAGCAGAUUUCUUAAACUAAUGCAAAUAAAAUAUGUUUUUAGAAGAGAAAUAAUAAAUAGCACUUUCUUCUUUUGUUUGUAGUAAGGGCCUGCCCUGAAGGACAGCCGUAGCUGACCUUGGAAUGCAUUAGUCCUAAGGGGUAGGGACGUGUCUCUUUCCUUGCUGUUUUUGCCAGGGGGAAAGAGACACUUCAGGUGACGCUCUUCUCUGUUAUAACUUAGCUGAAGAUAAAGCCUUAAGUCUUUUCUC